UACAGAGGUCUCAAGCGUUGUUCGGAUUCAUUGGGCGUAAAGGGCGCGUAGGCGGCGCGGUAAGUCGGGUGUGAAAUCUCGGGGCUUAACUCCGAAACUGCAUUCGAUACUGCCGUGCUUGAGGACUGGAGAGGAGACUGGAAUUUACGGUGUAGCGGUGAAAUGCGUAGAUAUCGUAAGGAAGACCAGUGGCGAAGGCGGGUCUCUGGACAGUUCCUGACGCUGAGGCACGAAGGCCAGGGGAGCAAACGGG
RNAcentral lists this ribosomal RNA (253 nucleotides) under uncultured bacterium. RNAcentral describes it as "partial 16S ribosomal RNA". It matches the Rfam family "Bacterial small subunit ribosomal RNA", at positions 524 to 776 of the family's 1533-position model. The record is from RNAcentral.